RNAcentral lists this ribosomal RNA (480 nucleotides) under uncultured bacterium. RNAcentral describes it as "partial 16S ribosomal RNA". It matches the Rfam family "Bacterial small subunit ribosomal RNA", at positions 28 to 507 of the family's 1533-position model. The record is from RNAcentral.
GACGAACGCUGGCGGCGUGCUUAACACAUGCAAGUCGAACGAUGAAGAAAAGAAUCGAAGCUUCGGCAGAAAUUCAUUUCGGAUUAGUGGCAGACGGGUGAGUAACGCGUGAGCAACCUACCCCUUACAAAGGGAUAGCCUCGGGAAACCGGGAUUAAUACCAUCUUACAUUGCGACGGAGCAUUUCGAUGCAAUCAAAGGUACGGCGGGAUGAGCUGGGGGCUCGUCCCGUUAACCGGAGGGUGAGGUAACGGCACACCAUAGUGACGAUGGGUAACCGGGAGGAGAAGCGGAACCGUUACACCGGAGCUGCGACACGGUCCAGAAUCCUACGGGAGGCAGCAGUGGGGAAUAUUGCACGAGGGAGGGAAAUCUGAUGCCGCGACGCGGGGUGAGUGAUGAAGGAAGUUGUUUCGUAAAUCUCUGUUCUAUGGGAAGAAAGGGACGGUACCAGAGGAGAAAGCGCCGGCUAAAUACGUG